GUACAUGCACAUAGGUAUACAUAUUUACACAAGGUGUAUUGUGAACAUGUACAAAAAUACACAUAUUUAUACACAGAUGUAUUGUGUAGUGCACAUAGGUAUACAUAUUUAUACAAGGCGUAUUGUGUGCAUGCACAUAGGUACACACAUUUAUACACAGGUAUAUUGUGUAGUGCACAUAGGUAUACAUAUUUAUACAAGGUGUAUUGUGAACAUGCACAAAAAUACACACAUUUAUACACAGGUAUAUUGUGUAGUGCACAUAGGUAUACAUAUUUAUACAAGGUGUAUUGUGUGCAUGCACAUAGGUACAUACAUUUAUACACAGGUAUAUUGUAUACAUGCACACAGGUACACAUUUAUGUAAGUGUAUUGUGUACAUGCACAUAGGUAUACAUAUUUAUAUACAGCUGUAUUGUGUCAUGCACAUAGGUACACAUAUUUAUGUAAGGUGUGUUGUGUACAUGCACAUAGGUACACAUGUUUAUACACAGAUGUACACACACAUUUGUAGACAGUGGAUAUAUUUGUGCACCUGUGCAAUACAUAUGUGUAUAUAUACAUUUGCAUGCAUAUGCUGUCCGACUGACUUGAUUGUUAGAAAUGCAAGUUUUGGUUUUUGAUGAUGUAUUUCAUUUUACACUGCUUUGGGCAGUGGGAUUGGUCAUGAUUAGUUCCCUGGGCUAGGUAUGGGAACAAUCCUCAGACCUGAGAGUAGCAGAGGCUUCCUGUGAAACAGAGCUGGACAUACAGCUCAGAACCUGUACUGCCACCUGCUGCUUGGAGGAGUGAGUGACAGAAGAAAGGAUUUUUUUUUUUUUUUUUUUUUUUUUUUUUGUUGCCAUCUGCUACUUAGAAGAGUUUAUGUUGCUUUGGCAACCCAGAAAAAAAGCAGAUGGCAGAGAAGCACUUUCCCUCCUUACCACCUCCUCCCACUCCCUUCAGCGGAUCAAAAAGGCCCAGGAAAGGAACAUCCUAAGAGUAUGUGGUCUUAAAUAACACAAGAGUGAAGAGGUCUAGGAAUACCAUUUUUUCCCUACCUCCUUUCUAUAACUCACCCCAUUGAGAGAAAAAGAACUAAAUGUUCUAAAUAAUUAAUGGUCCAGAGUUGUAACACCUGGCACAGGUGAUCAUUAUUUUUUAUAUGCCUACUUUAUGUAGUUCUGUACUUUGCGCCAUUCCAUGCAAUAUUUUAGUGUGUUUCAAGUUUAUGGGAGAAAUGUUAAAUUUAAAUUAUUUUUGCUUUGCCUUCUAUUUACUCCUUCUGAAUAAAAGUUAGAGGCAUUACUUCUGCUGAUUUUUUAAUAACUGGAGACACCAGUGGGGGCUUAGGAGUCAUUUGGUGAGUAGCAAAGAAGUUAUCUAGAUCCUAAAGGCAGUUGGGUGUAGCCAGUUCUGGAAAACCCUAUCUUAUCAGUAGGAGUUGUCCUCAACAAGAUUCAAUAGAAAAAGCACUAGAUUUGUAGUUAGAGAAUCACUGAACUUCUUGGUACCUUAGUUUCUUUAUAUAUAAAAUGAGGAAAUUGGACUAAAUAGUCUUGAAGAGUCCUUUCAGCUCUAAAUCUACAAUUUUGGAAAUAUCUCCCCACAAAAGAAAAAGCCCCAGAGGGCAAUCCGAUAUGUUUGGUGGGACCUUCCAUUAACUUCUGGCUCCCAAAGAUAUUGUUUAAAAAUCCUUAAUAAAACAUUACAGACCAAGAGACAAAUUUUCCCAAUGUCCCUCCUUCUGUCUCUGUCUCCCCCUCUCUCUUCCUCCUUCCUUCCCCCUCCUGUCUCUAAUAUGGACUCACUAAAUUCAUUCCCAGAUGCAAGCACUGAGGACAGGCAGGGUAGAGAGUAAAAAGAACCUGCUUUGGUGGUGAAGAAUCAUUACUUGCUGUCUUUUGGAUCCGAAUACCUGGUGUACAGAGGGAUAGGGAUUAGAUCUGUGAUUUGGCUGAUAUGAAGAACUUCCAGUGAGGAGCAUCUUCUCCCAAUGCAAAUCUGUACAUUCUCUGAAAUUCAUGGUCAGAGAAAGUCAACUAACACAUGAAGAUGUUUAAAUAAUUUGCCCAAGAUCACAAAGUUAGUAUGUGUCAGAAGUGGGGCUUGAAUAAAGGUCUUUCUGACUCAUAUCUGGUGUACAGUAGAUAUUUAAUAAAUACUUGUCGACUUAUUUACGAUGGUGUUAUAAACUUUAAGAAUACCUUAAAAAGAACUCAAGGGAAACAUAGAAUUUGUGUUUUUUUCUCUCAUAAAUCAAAACAUGUUGGUUUGAACUGAAUUAAAAUUUCAAGAUGUGCAGAAGUACUUCUCUCUCUUAAAAACAAAAUUUAGUACCUUCAAGAUCAUGUCACCAAUGUUGGUCUCAGGUUUCCCUUUGGCACUGUGUCAUACAACAGAAAAAUCUCAGGCACCCUGGGGCUAUGAAAGUCAGCCUAACGUUAAAAGAAGAGCCAAAUAUUUCAAUUUCAUUUGUUUUAAGUCUCCUAAAACAGCUACUCCCUAAAAAAAGAAAAUACCUAAUUAUAUGAAAUUGCUCAUUCAUCUCAGAAUAAACUAGAAUCUGAUUUGAUAUUUUUUCUCCUUUCUUUUGACAAUAUUUCUUUUUUUCCUUCUUAUCCUUAUACUGUCUUUCCCCUGUAUAUAGGUAAAACAUUUACCUUCUGUCAUGUCUGUCUCCAUGCUUUCUGGCUUUUGAAUUUUUUUUCCAUCAAUUCUGAUUUAUCACUGAGGACAUGAAAUCUCCAGUUGUUCAAGUAUCACAUCAUCCAACACUAUCAGUGCUACAGGAGUCAGGUGAGUAAGCAACCAAGGGUUAAAGUUAUAUAAUUCACUUUCAAUUGAGAAUAAAGUUGGCUUUUUUUUUUUUUUUUUUUUUUGGUGUGUGUUAAUUCCAUGCUUUCUAGCUUUCUGGAAAAUCAAACCUUUUCAUUAACUCUCCUAACUGAUAAAAUGCAGGCAAUUCACCAAUUAGGUUCUAUACUUUUAAAAUAAAAAAAACAAAAAACUAACACCAACAUCAUACUCUGCACACACACACACACACACACACACACAAGACUGAGAUGUGCAUUACUGAUAAGAACUAGUUUUGAUUUUCUCCAUUAUGAUGCAAAACUCAUUAGUUCUUGGAUCUGUGACAAAUUUUAAUUGGCCAAGCUAUGAAAACCUCAUAGAGCUAUUAUGCUUUACACCUGUGAUAGCCAACAUGUUAAUCAAGAAAAUUAGAGGGGGGACCUAGAAAAUCUCUUUCUACUACUGUGAAUAAGUUUUGUUUAAUCUGAGAAGAUUAACAACUGCUUUAUGGGAUCUCAAAUUAUCACACUUUUUAUGAGAUCGAAAUCAGAUUCAUCACAAGUAAGCAACAUAUAUCAUUGAUGACCAGAAUGAUACAUCUGCUAAGAGAUAUUAGGUCCUCAUGUUAACUUUGACUUUGAAACACUUUGUAGACAGACAUGAAAGGGUCACAUGACAUUGGCAGCAUAACACAAAUUAUGACAUCCAAUAACACAGGAAAUUUGAUAUCUCCAAAGUAAUAGGUUCCAGAGGAAAAAAGGAAGGAGGGCAAGUAAAUCAAUUUAGUUCUCUCAGCAUUUUGUACUCUUCUCUGGAAUGGUAAAUGGCAAUAUAGUUUCUGGGGAGAAUCCCACCAGGUCAAUUUCCAAGCUUAACAAAGGCAACAAUAUCUAAUAAAAGUUUCCUUCCAUUUUUGUUUUUAGGUUUCUCUAAACCCCACCUCCCUCUUUCUUAGACAAAGUAGACAAUGAGAAAUUCAGAGUCAUUGAGCUCUUCUGGAAAAGCAUGGAGCUAGGAAUUAGAAAAUCUAAGCUCUAAUCUUAACUCUGCUAUUUAUUAGCUGUGCAACUAGGACAAGUCACCUGAAAAUAAGUAGGUGUUUGGAUUAAAUGGUCUUAAGUCUUAACAUUUUAUUUUUACAACCUAAGGUUUCUUCAGUGACCUAGAAUUCAAUGUUGUAAGGGCUCUCCCAGUUCAGAUGGUCUCUAUUAUAUGAUUUAAUGUUACUUAGAGCUCUUACACUUUUAUGAUUCUGUGACAUAAGCAGUUGAAAAUAUAAAUGCUGAGUAAAGUGCUAAUCAGAAAUAAUGAUCUUGCCAAAGUAUUUUCUCAUUUUCUUGUAUUUUUUUCAAAAUGUAUGUACCUAAUCUAUGAAAGAUACUCCCAUUUACCACGAGGUCAUUGCUACACUUUGGAGCAUCAAUAACUCAGUUAUUUCACCCCAUUCAUAAUGUCCCAAUCCUAUUUUGAUUGGACCAAAAAAACUACCUUUAUCAUUCAGUCAUUCAACAAGCAUCUGUUAUUGAGAACCUACCAAACCAGCACUGUUCUAGAUACUGGGGCUAAAAAGACAAGAAUAAAACUCCCUGACCUCAAGGAGCCUACAUUCUUACAAGGGGAGACAACGAAUACAUAUAUGAAUAUGUAAAAAUUGUAUUCAAAAUAAAUACAAGUUAAUUUUGGGAAAGAAAAACUAGGAGUAUCAUAUUACCUUAGGGAAGUCUAUGAGGCUCAGUUUCUUUAUCUGUAAAAUGAGAAUAAUAAAGUUUUUGCUACCUAUCUCACAGGGCUGUUGCUGUUAAGAUGGCUUUUGAGUCGAGCUUUGAAGGAAAGUGGAAAUUCUAAAAGAGAAAUGGGAUAAAACAGUGUAUUACAGGCCUGGGGAAUAGUUUAUCCAAAGGUUUGAAGAUGGGAGAUAGAAAGUUAUAUUUCAGGAACUGAAAGAAAGCCAGUUUGAAAAGUUUUGAGUGUUAGAUAGAAAAGCUUAUUUUUAAUUUUAAAGGCCAUAGACUCACUAUGGCUCUAAGGGCUUCCUAGAAUGUACUGAAUAGGAAAAGCAGUGAAAAGUUCUUUCAAAGCAAGAAUUACUUAGUAGCAUUGCUGUCUUCUCCAGACUGGGAUGCUUACUCUAUCCCAGCUCCACACCACAACUUAGAGGGAAGAACUAUGGAAGGCUUGAAAUUAUUUGACAAAUGAACUUGAUCCUCACCCCCUCUAUUAGAUUGAUCACUUCUUCCCCUUCUUGCCCUCUCUUCCCACGAAUGUGCUAUAUCAGAAAGAGUCUUUGAAUAUCAGCUCGGUACUCCAAAGACUCAGGAUCAAAUCCCAUCUUUGAUACUAACUAUGCUCUUGGGGAUUAAUUUUCUCAUCUAUCAAAUGAGAGGCUUGGAGUAGAAGGCCUCCAAGGUCCCUUUCAACUGUUAUUCUUUGAGUAUAAUUCUUACUUUCUCUUCUCUAACCCCUACUUUGGCUUGAAGGCACAGGAUCAGAAUUACAGCUAAAAAGGACCCUAGAGACCCCAAAGUCUUAUUGAAGUCUUGAAAUGUCAAAUGACUUGUUUAAGAUCACAUACAGGCAAACAUGAAUAUGUGUGUGUAUAUAGUUGAUAUUUUACAUAUAUAUAUAGCUAUAUACAUAUAUAAAUAUAUACAUAUACAUUUACAAUAUAUGUAAAAUAUUAAAUAUAUUUAAAUAUAUUAAAGUUGGGAUUGAAUUCAGGUCAAUAAGGUUUCGGUAGAACACCAAUUUUUGAAUUUAAAGUUUGUUCUACUGUAUCACAGAAAAAUGUAAAGGAAAGGAAAAAUAGAAUCCCAGAAUUGGAGGCUAUCACAGCAUCUUAGAGCUCAAUUAUUCCAAUUCCAUUUUGCACAUGGGGUAACUGAAGUCAAGAAAUGAGAAGUGAUUUAUCCAAGGUUACACAAUUUGUCCAUGGUAUAAUAGUGUCAAAAUUGGUCUCUUGACGCUAAAAUCUUUGUUCUUUCUACUAGAGUGAAGAAACAAAGAGAACAAACUGAAGGAUAACCAGCAGAAUGUAUUCUUGUACAUGUGCAUGUGGGGAAGGAGGCAGGAUUGGGACACAACUUAAAAAUGCUAAAAGGAGAAUUAAAAUGUCUUCCUCUAAUCCUCACUCCCCUCUUUGCCUUAAGCUUAGUAUUAAGGAAGCAUCUUGACAUUUUCAUUCUCAAUGCUCUUUUUCAUUUCUCUAGUAUACACUUAGAAGCCUGAAAAUGUUUUUUGACAAGUUUAAAUAAGUAUAAUAACAAAUAAUUAGAUGACCUUAACUCACCAUACCAGUGCACCAUAACCUCAUGUCCCCAACCCCUGCUCUAGAAUUUUGAUAAUGAGCCCUCAUCUAAUAUAGAAGGAAGUGGAAUUCCCACCCGUGGUCUAAGGUUGGAAGCUUCCAGUGUAAGAUUCAGGGCAAUAACUGGAUUUGUUCCCUAAAUGCUACUCCAGCCCCUUUGACUAGCACUAAUCUACUUUUAAGAGAUUUGAAAUAAAAAUAAACACUGUGUUACGUUAUAUAUCCAAUUUACAAGGAAAAGACAUUCAGGCAACUGUUACGCAUAAUAGAAAAGAUUAAAAGACAUUCUCUUAGUAAUCCUAAGUGUAAUAGAAAAGAUUCUAAGCAUAUUUAGAGUAAUUAUGCCAAGUAUGAUCUGAAUAAUACUUUCUAUUUCAAGAAAAUUAAACCUAUUAGGAAUUUGUAAAAAAAAAAUGUACUAAACCCCCUCAUCACUAACUUAUAGAAUAUCAGUUAGAAUAUUCUUAGUGCUUAUUUAGUCCACUCUUUCCCCCUGCCCCUCAUUCCAUUUUAUAGAUGAAGAAUGUGUUAUUCAGUCAUUUCAGUCAUGUCCAACUCUUCAUGACCCCACUUGGGAUUUUCCUGGCAAAGUUACUGGAGUCAUUUGCUAUUUCCUUCUCUAGCUUAAAUACAGAUGAGGAAACUGAGGCAAACAGGAUCACAUAGAUAAUAUGUGUCUGAGGUUAGAUUUGAACUCAGAAAAAUAAGCCUGACUCCAGACCCAGCACUCCAUCCACUGCAGCUGCAUCUAUCUGUGAAACUCAAACUUAAAGAGGGAAUAGAUCUUGUCUAAAGUCAGCAAAAUAUCUGUCUUCUAAUAUAGAGCUCAGAAUUGACAUUUUGCUUCAGUGAUGAUCUAUGUUUUCUUUCUCUCAAUAGCAUGUAAAUUCCUUAAGGGCAGGGGUUAUUUCAUGCAUAUUUUUGCAAUCCCAAGGCCUAGCACUGUGCCUGGAACAGAGGGAUAGGAAAUAGAUCUGUGAUUACACCAGUGUAGAGUAUUAGCAAUGAAAAGCUUCCUUUCCCCGUGCAAAUCUGUACAUUCUCUGAAAUUCAUGGUCAGAGAAAGUCACCUAACACACGAAGAAGUUUAAUUAAUUUGCCCAAGAUCAGAAAGCUAGUAUGUGUCAGAAGUUGGACUUGAAUGAAGGGCUUUCUGACUUGAAAGCCAACUUUUAAUCCACUAGACCAAGAAGCAUCUUUUAUCUGGUGUAGAGUAGACCUUUAAUAAAUGCUUGUCAACAUAUUGAUGAUGGUGUCCUAAACUCUAAGAAUACAAACUCCUCAAAAGCAGGGCUUUUGACCUCCAGUCAAAGCUUUCAUUCUAUUGCUUUUUUUCACCAACAUCUGUGCCACGUAGUGUGUAUUUGUGUUUAUUCUGGGAAAUGAGAGAGGAUGGAUUUGGCAAAUGAUAAAGUAUGGGUAACCUCUAUUUAUCAAUACUUUGGACUCUUGCCAUUUUAGCACAUUUGACAGCAUGAAUGUUGGAAAGAAUGCUGAUUCCUUCCAGUUUUAAAUGGAAGGAGAAUCACAUGCUAGGAGAUCUCAGUUAACUAACUAGACUGAGCAUUGAUUCACUUGUCCUGGCAAGCAUAUUCUUAGCAUCUCGAAAUGAAUGUCUCUGACCUGUAGAAGUAGCACUUUCUGCUUAUCUGGAUUCAAUAUCCUGGAUUUUUACUUUAUUUUUUAGCUUCAAAAGCAUUAACAAAAGUUGUGUUUGAAUUAAUAGCAACCAAAAACCUCUUAAGAGAAGGAAGGGGAAGAAGUCUCAAGUUUUAGUUUUAAGUGAAGAAAAUGAAAGAUGGUGGGGUAAAGGAGUCUUCAUCCACAAAGCAUAUUCAGUGACAGAAUCAGAAAUGAAAUAAGUUUAACUCUCAGACAGUUCUCACAAACUCAAGCAAAGAGAUAGGCUACCCAUCAAUAAAUAACUGCCAUUUCCAAAGAUGUGCCAUAGAGCUGGGAUAUUUGAUAAAAUGAAUAUCCUAAGGAAAUAGUAAUUAAAAUUUUAUUCAUUUUAAGCCCACUAAUUUGAAAUUUGUUAUAAUACAGGGCAGGAAUGAAGUUUACCUUUCGAUGUUAGUGGGGAUUUGAGGGAGGGAAAACUUGUAACAUAACAUUAAUUAACAUUAACAUAUUAACAUAACAAUAAAUUAACAUAACAAUAAAAAAGAAGGAAAGAACACUUGUUCUGGAGUCAAAAGUCCACAUAGCCUUAUUACUGACAUGAACUUGGGGAAGUCACAACUUCUUUGGGCCAUGCUUGUAAAACAAAAGGAUUGAACUAAAUUUGCGCUUCCUCCAGCUCUGAAUAUGUGAUCAGUAUAUGUGACAGUGAAGGAAUCCUUUAAUCUAUUUAAGAAAGCCAAUUAUUUUCAAUUGCUCUCAAAACCACUUUAAUAGCAUUUUUGCCAUGCAAACUAAGAGGAAGCAUCCUUUGUGAAUGAUUCUUAUUCAUUCAUUGAAGCAGCCCUAAGGAGCCUCUAUUUGACAAUUGCUACAACUACACAUAUCACUUUAUUAGUCAAUAAUCUUAGCUCCAGUUGCUGCAUAUUUUUAAAGAUAAUAAAAAUACAUUUACUUUCAAAGCCAAAUAUUUUAUCCUUUUAGACUAGACUUCCCCUAAUUAUUUUAGAAUCAGUGGGACUGAAUUGUAUUGGUAAAUUUGUGGAACAGAUUUCUUUUUUUUUUCUCUCUUAUGGGCUGAUUUUCUUUGGCUUAGUCUAAUUUCUUUUUAGCUUUGAGCCACUGGGGCUAUGCAAAUUUGUGUCAGCUUUAUCCACCCUACCAAGAGCUCAGCCUGUGACUAAAUCUGCUGGCAGUCAUAGACUUAUACCUUGUCAGUAGAAGGAGGCCAGAGCCUUGCUGCAAUAUGCCUUCUGGCUGAUUGACCAGAAAUUCAAUCAUAACACUAUCACUUCAAAAAUUUCUUUCAUAUAUCAUUUACAAAAAAGGUUUCCCAUCUAAAUUUUCAUUCAACUCUUCCUGGAUUUUGAAAAUGCAUUUGAAGGCUGGAUUUGUUUGAUUUGGGAAACAAAAUUGCAUAUAUGGGAGUUUGUUUUCCCCUUCUGCUAUUGGAUGGAACUAGUAGUUUUGAGAAAUGAAUAAUCCCAUUGAUUCAAUGAUACCAUGAACAGUUUUUUAAGUGCUUUUCCAUAAAUGAGAUAGUACUUUAUUCAAUCCCUGAAAUCAGCAGUCUUUGAUGAACCUUUUACAUAAGAAAUAAGGAUGCUGAGCUGUUAUUUUCAUAGGGAUAGCAUGUGUUUUUCCCUAAUGGAGCAGCUAGGGUUUUCUGCUACUUAUAUCUGAUCUGAAGGUAUUCUCUUUGCUUAAGAUUAUACUAUACAUCUAGACUGUCAAAAAAAAGUACCAGAAGUAAUAUUUAAGAGUCGGUAUUUUUUUUCACAGUUUUCAGAUACAUUAUUUUACUUUAUUCUCACAAACUUUCUUGUCAGGCAAGGAAGUUAUGUCACCAAAGAACUGUAAUCAUCCCUUAGUUCAACCUUCUAUCAUAUACAGGAAUGCCAACCACAGGUACUCAUUCUUCCUUUGCUUGAACACUUUCAGUAAAGGGAAACUCCUUAUUGUAUGAUAUAUUCUUUUCCAUUCUUGAACCCCUGUAAUUGUUAUGAGAGGUAACCAUAGUAUAUUGGAUAGAAAGCCUGCCUCACAAUCAAGAAGACCUGUGUUUAAAAAUCAUUUUUGACACAUUCUAGUUAUAUGACUUUGGGUUAAGUCAUAGUUACUUCACAGUUUCCCUAGGGAAUUCUCUAAGACUCUAAGUUAAAGAAUGGUUGUAUAAAUGGAGAGAGAAAUCACAGAUUUGCCUCAAAAGAAAAAAUGUUAUCAAAUAUUAUUUAUAUGCAAAAGUGGCACUUGCACUAACUAG
Molecule: long non-coding RNA, 9965 nt
Organism: Sarcophilus harrisii (Tasmanian devil)
Lineage: Eukaryota; Metazoa; Chordata; Mammalia; Dasyuromorphia; Dasyuridae
Source: Ensembl